This 237-nucleotide ribosomal RNA is filed under the name uncultured bacterium. RNAcentral's name for it is "partial 16S ribosomal RNA". It matches the Rfam family "Bacterial small subunit ribosomal RNA", at positions 15 to 235 of the family's 1533-position model. The record is from RNAcentral.
GAUCCUGGCUCAGGACGAACGCUGACGGCGUGCUUAACACAUGCAAGUCGAACGAGAAUCUACUGAAUGAGUUUUCGGACAAUGGAAGUAGAGGAAAGUGGCGGACGGGUGAGUAACGCGUGAGGAACCUGCCUUGAAGAGGGGGACAACAGUUGGAAACGACUGCUAAUACCGCAUGAUGCAUAAGGGUCGCAUGAUUCUUAUGCCAAAGAUUUAUCGCUUCAAGAUGGCCUCGCG